This 254-nucleotide ribosomal RNA is filed under the name uncultured bacterium. RNAcentral describes it as "partial 16S ribosomal RNA". It matches the Rfam family "Bacterial small subunit ribosomal RNA", at positions 524 to 776 of the family's 1533-position model. The record is from RNAcentral.
UACGUAGGGCGCAAGCGUUAUCCGGAAUUACUGGGCGUAAAGCGUGCGCAGGCGGUUUUGUAAGUUUGUCGUGAAAGCCCCGGGCUCAACCUGGGAAUUGCGAUGAAGACUGCAAGGCUUGAAUCUGGCAGAGGGGGGUAGGAAUUCCACGUGUAGCAGUGAAAUGCGUAGAGAUGUGGAGGAACACCGAUGGCGAAGGCAGCCCCCUGGGUCAAGAUUGACGCUCAUGCACGAAAGCGUGGGGAGCAAACAGG